Gymnothorax javanicus (giant moray) is the source of this 70-nucleotide non-coding RNA. The record is from the annotation of a GenBank genome assembly. Lineage: Eukaryota; Metazoa; Chordata; Actinopteri; Anguilliformes; Muraenidae.
GGGUGGGUGGCACAGUGGUGCAGUGCUGCCUUGUAAUAAGGAGGUUCCAGGUUUGAGUCCUGACAGCCCA